GACGAACGCUGGCGGCGUGCUUAACACAUGCAAGUCGAACGGAAAGGCCCUGCUUUUGUGGGGUGCUCGAGUGGCGAACGGGUGAGUAACACGUGAGUAACCUGCCCUUGACUUUGGGAUAACUUCAGGAAACUGGGGCUAAUACCGGAUAGGAUCUCUUGCUGCAUGUUGGGGGUUGGAAAGUUUCGGCGGUUGGGGAUGGUCUCGCGGCUUAUCAGCUUGUUGGUGGGGUAGGGGCUUACCAAGGCUUCGACGGGUAGCCGGCCUGAGAGGGUUACCGGCCACAUUGGGACUGCGAUAGGGCCCAGACUCCUACGGGAGGCAGCAGGGGGGAAUAUUGCACAAUGGGCGGAAGCCUGAUGCAGCAACGCCGCGUGCGGGAUGACGGCCUUCGGGUUGUAAACCGCUUUCGCCUGUGACGAAGCGUGAGUGACGGUAAUGGGUAAAGAAGCACCGGCUAACUACGUG
Molecule: ribosomal RNA, 468 nt
Filed under: uncultured bacterium
Lineage: Bacteria
Description: partial 16S ribosomal RNA
Rfam family: Bacterial small subunit ribosomal RNA
Source: RNAcentral